This 372-nucleotide ribosomal RNA is filed under the name Triticum aestivum (bread wheat). RNAcentral describes it as "partial small subunit ribosomal RNA". Lineage: Eukaryota; Viridiplantae; Streptophyta; Magnoliopsida; Poales; Poaceae. The record is from RNAcentral.
AUGGAGGGCGGCCGGAUGUCGGACGCGCCGGCGAGCCCGCCGGGCGGCUGAGGAGGCGGCUUCGGCGGUGUCAGGGAGCAGGACAGGUUCCUGCUCAUAGCCAACAUCAUCAGCAUCAAGAAGAAGGCCAUCUCGGCCAACUGCAAGAUCGCCAAGCACGCCAAGGAGACCGUGCAUGAGUGCGUCUCCGAGUAUGUUGCUUCAUCGCCAGCGACUGAGGCGAGCGAUAAGUGCCAGAGGGAGAAGCGCAAGACCAUCAACGUCGAUGACCUGAUCUGGGCGAUGGCCACGCCAGGCUUUUAGGAGUACAUUGAGCCCUUCAAGGUUUAUCUGUAGAAGUACAAACACGUGCGUGCCCAUUUAGCCAUGUAG